This 4372-nucleotide long non-coding RNA is filed under the name Mytilus galloprovincialis (Mediterranean mussel). The record is from RNAcentral. Lineage: Eukaryota; Metazoa; Mollusca; Bivalvia; Mytilida; Mytilidae.
UUUUGAGAAAAAUGUGACGAAAGUUUCAUGGGACGGACUGACUGACAGACGGACUGACGGACGGCCUGACGGACGGAUGGACAGACAGAGGUAAAACAGUAUACCCCCCCUUUUUUAAAGCAGGGGUAUAAUAAUUUAAACAAUCUAAUCUUUUAAUUGAUCAAAAUGGACGGGCAGACAAACAAAGGUUAAGUUAUAUCUCAUUCCUACGACGACAGAUUAAAAGGUAUAAUAACAGCAUCAAUUUUCUAAUCAGAAUAAUUCUCAUACAUUAUUAAUAGUUCGCUGUCUAUUUAUUCCCUAUAAAUGACUUGCUGUUCAGCAAACUUUUAUUGCAAGAAUAUUUCAUUGACUAUUUUUGUCUUUAAAUCUUUUUAAAACCAUCAGUGUCCAACACAUUGUGGUACAUGUAAGACAAAUGGCAAUAGCACUUAAAACCAGUCAGAUCACAGACAUUUCAUGGUGGGUAAGGUGAGAGUCUUUUCAUUUAACAUCCUUCAAAUUCUAUCCACUGAUCCAGAUGCCUGAAAUGAACAAAAUAAAGUAAGAAAAAAUAAUGUGGAGUAUUAGAGAUAAUUUUAUGACAAUUAUUCUACAUCACAAAAACUGAAUCUCAUUCUUUAAAAUCAAUUUAUGUUAAUUUUUUUGAUGGGUAAAUUAUUACCCUGUAUGACAUUUUUGUCAGGAAGUAUAUAUUCAGUAUUCUGAAAUUUAAUAUCAAUCUUCUUGUAGUCAAAUUUUAACUGUUUUCAAUUAAAUCAACUUGCUCACCAGCUUUCUUUUUUCAAAUAACUAUAGUAGAGGUAUCUUCAAUUGCCAAUAGUCACAAUUUAUCUUGUUUAUUUUUAAUAUUAUAAUUAUAAUGCUGAUUCAACAGCAAGGUUUCCAUUAUAAUAUAUUAAGAACAUGUCCCAAUAUUAGUUGAUAAUAAUGCUUUAUACUGUCAGGGGCGUAGCAGCCGCUGUACCAAUAAUUUUCGUUGGUACAGCAUGCCGUACCUAAAAUUUAUAUAAUUUAUUUUAAAAAAACCAAGGUAUUUGCAAGGGAAAAAAGAAAACAAGGUUUUUAUAGGAAAAAACGAAGAUAGAAAAUCCCAUUUAUGAGUUAUAAGCUAUAUAUACGGUAUACCUUUAUUAAUACUGGUUCAAUAGAAAUAAGGAUAUGCGGUAGACUAGAAGCCAAUUCAUGAGACAAGUUGAACUCUUAAUCCAGGUCUCACAGUGUGUAAAAAGUAAACAAUUAUUAUAGGUCAAACUGAGUACAGACUUCAGCAUGGUUUCUAGUCUCAACGUGACAGAUUAAUAUGCAAAAAAAAGGAACCGACAAUGAAAUAAAAAAAGGCGCAAGGUAGGGCCGACCUUGCAAGGGCUGUGUAGCCAGUCAAAGUCGUUCAAAACUUCCAUCAGGGUUGUGUAAAACAAUUCAAAGGGGAAUUAAAAAAAUCGCUUCAAAUUUCAACGUUUCAUGAUGAAAAAUUUGUUAAUUCUCAAUCAAAAGAAUGUUAUAUAUAACAAGAGAAAUUUUAUUUGCAUUCUGUUUUUCGUAUGUUUGGUUCAAAUUUGCAAACCUUCUGUGAGGCACUUUGUUCAGUGUAUAUUAUUUUCCUUAAUAUCAGAGUUUCACCCUCUACAAAUUUACCAUCUGCUGUGCGAUGUCAAAUAAAAGGCUGAAAGUAAACAUUCCAUGACGCUAAAAUCUGAAACCAAGUGUUAUGAAUAUAGGUCGUGGAUGAUAAGUCCAGUACACACAUAGUCAAAUUGCACCCUGUUACCCUGAUCCUUAGAAUGGUACAUAAAGCUAGACAAGUCUUAGCCUCUGUGGCUCAUUUUAAUUUAUUUUUUAUUUUUUUGUUUGUCUAUUUCAAAAAUUAAAAAAAAAUUAUAUAUAUAUUAUCAAAUUUUUUUUUUAAUUAUUUUUUUAUGUCGAUAAUGCAACCUUAGCUUCUUAUUAUUAUAUUUCUGUGUAGCUGAACUUUAUGUGAAUGUCUUUUAUUUGCACUAUUUUUUUUUUUUAAACACGACUGUAAAAUGAUCAAUCAGACUUCUGCCUCGUUCACACGUACAUUUUAUUUGAAUUGAAUUUGAAUCGAAUGCAAAUCAAAAUUGCUAAUCACGUUCACAUACUCUUCUUUUUUAAUUCGAAUUGGCUAAUUCAAAUUAUCCAAUGGGAAUUAGAAAUACGAUUUUUAAUACGAAUUAAAAGUUAAUGUUGUUUGGACAGUACAGCAAAUUUGACGUGCAAUGUAAUUCGAAUUAGAAUUGACGUUAGGAAGUAAAACGUUUUGAAUGCAAAUUAAACGAAUUUGAAUUAGUUAAUGCAAAUUGAAUUCGAAUUACGUGUGAACUCAGCAUAGAUUUCGUUGACUUUUCCAUAUCCUGUAUAUUUUUGCAACAAUUUGUUACUUAUAUAAAUACUUUAUUCGCUCGUAUUUAUUGUAAUAUAUUAUUAACUAUGUCAAAGUCGACGUGAUUUGUGGAAUUGACCAGUACGUCGAAAAAACAUCAUUCAGUCAUUUUAAAAUUCAAAUUACAGUAACACAUUGCUACGACUGAAGAUGACAAGCAUAACACCUUCAAAGAGACAAAGGAUGGACAAGGACGUUUUGACUCCUAUUUCACAAUUCCACUCAGCAGAAGGCAAUACUCUAUUACACUCAUAUGAAAAAGUUCCACAGCUAUAACAUUUAUAACCUACAAAAACAUGUUUAGCCCCACACGCCCCAGCCCAUUAAUAAAUUGCUGAAUAAUGAUCCACAGUCAGUAAACUCUACAUGGAUAAAAAAAUCUAAGGUACAGACCAUUUGAUUUUCAAGGGCGGGGGUCACAGAUAAUUUAGAGAUUAAAAAAAUGCUGGCCCUGUUUUUUGCCGUCGUACCUGGGUUGAAAUAAUAAUCUUGCCUAAAUUUUUGCGAUUAGAAAAAAAAACUUCCAACAAAAUUAUUUAGCAUCAAAUGAAUUAAAAACGCAUAUUUUUUUAACACUUAAAAAAAAUGUUAAUAAGAAAUUCAUUCUUCGGUUACUUGUUAUAACCUUUAUUUCAGUGACUAACUUAGCUAGGGAGAAUUUUUCCAUGUCUUUUUUUUACUGACAAAUCCCACAUAAUAUAUUAGUACAUAGCUUGGAUCCAUCCAAUCAUUCUAUAAUAGAAAAUUAAUUCGGGAGUCGAAUACAGCAUCAAAAAUGUUAAACCCUUGCACUUUAACUAAUAAUUUAUACAUGCCCCACUUCAGGAACUGUUUAACAAGUGCAUUUUACACUUAUUUUAUGUUUUUGAGCACAAAAAGGUCCACAAAAAAAUUGCCUCGCAAUGCUCCGCCACGAAAUUUAUUCGACACCCCCACUUUGAAAAUCAGGGAUCUGCCCCUGUAUCCCAAGAUCCCUAGCAUGGCAUCCGACACAACUUGAAAGUAUUAAUCUUAAUUUUAGCCAAGAUAUUCCACUUUUUUUUUUAUCCAUUUGGAUUGUUGACUUUUUGACACAUUUCAUGUUUCAAAUUCUCUUUUUCAUUAUUUUGUAUUUGACUUUCAAAAAAGUGUCAUAAGUCUUUUUGUUAAAAAAAUGAUGUUUUCAUGAGUGAAAUUAAAGUGUCGGGAGAGGGUCAGAAUGCAGAAUUUUGCACCAUUUACCUGAAAAUUUUUCGAGGGCAUGGGCUGACCCAAACCCCCGAUGAAUAUCCGCCACGUUGAGGCGGGAUGAGUUGCUCUGCGACCCAUAAAAUUUCCUGUCGUACCAAUAUAAAUUUGAGUGCUAUGCCUCUGACUGUAUCAGGAUUUGUCUUAAAAUUGUUUGUAAGAUGUUUGAAAUCUUUGAUAUUUGAAAACUAAUUCUCUAUCACUGAAUUUAAUUUUACAUUCAUCAAAUGUUUUAAAGUUUUCUAGUAGUAUUAGAGAUUUUAAAGAGAAAGACAGAAUACCUGACCAGACUUUCAUCAGGAUAUCAUUGAUUAUUUAAAAUUCUGCUGAAAUGCAAUAGAGUAUUUUCAUCAAAAUGUUUUUGUGUUAUUUGCAUUUUUAUUUUGUACCAAAUACAAGUUAUUUUACAAAUUUUCAGUAAGAUUGUCAGGUAUGAAAUUUUUACCUAAGAUAUGCAUAGAUAAUCUGCCACUCAGAUACAUUGCUAUUACAUACCAUCAGAGUUCAUAAUAGCAACUAUGAGUUUUGCCUCACAAUCAAUCAGCAGUCUACUAUAUAUUUUUAUACCCCCCGCUUUGAAAAAAGGGGGUAUACUGUUUCACCUCUGUCUGUCCUUCCAUUCAUCAGUCCGUCAGUCCGUCCGUGCCAUUUACAUUUUUGUCACAUUUUUCUCAGGAACUACACUACAAGGAUUUCUGAAAUUUGGUUUCAGGCUUGAUAACAACUUCCUGUUUACCGAAC